RNAcentral lists this long non-coding RNA (15616 nucleotides) under Zea mays. Its description in RNAcentral is "long non-coding RNA (ZMAY_LNC003697)". The record is from RNAcentral. Lineage: Eukaryota; Viridiplantae; Streptophyta; Magnoliopsida; Poales; Poaceae.
GCGGCGCGACCAGCUAGCACUAUCGUCGUCAUGCUCGUGUCCUCGUCGCUCGUUCGGUGCGUCGUGCACGCAACAUGUCGUCGUACCUCGCCUCGUCUCGCCGUCGUCGCGAGGUAAGCCUCGCCUACCCCUUGCGCGUAAUUCAGAUGAGGUUCGCCCGACGACACGCAAAAUGCUAAUUACACGUUUUAAACAAAGUCAUUUCGUCAUGUCGUUUAGGCUAAAUAAUUAGUUAAUGGUGUGGUUAUCGGUUGUUAAAAAACAUGAGGUUCAAUCGAAUCUAGUUUAUAAUUUUAAUUAUGCGAUUAUAAAUACUUGGCAAUGUGAUUUUAACCACUUAGAUGUUGUAUUUAAUAUCUAUUUAGUGUUUGGUAUAAAAACAACAUUUAGUUAGUGAGUCUUGCAUGUGGUGGUGCGCGUCGCUCGUGCUGUUUGGCUCGUGCUAAUUCACAUGCUGUCCAUGUGUGUCGUCAUUCACACGAGUCGUUAUUCACGCACUUUAAUAAAAUUAUUUCGUCACAUCGUUCAUGUUAAAUAAUUAAUUACUUAUUUAGUGUCGGUUAUUUAAAAUAAUAGUUCAAUCAAACCAAAUUUAUAAUUUUAAUUACACGCUCGCAAAUACCUGUUAUUGCGAUUAUGCCAACUUAAAUGUAUAUCUAAUAUUGGUUUAAUAAAAAAACGAUACAAUUUAGUAGUAUUCGUAGACCAUGUCAUUUAUUAGCCGUGAUGUGCUAAUUAUUCAAUACGUUAUGUGUCGCAAUCCUGUUUUGACUCGUUUCGGACGUGUCAACUCCAUACCAGUGUUAAUUUCAUUUUACUAAUAUUAUUUUGUCACGACGUAAGUUUUAAUCAAAUAGUUAAUUAUUUGUUGUACAAUAUUUAUUAGAAUAACAAUUUGAAUAAAACUAAUUUCUAGUUUUUAUUCGCGCUUUUAUAGAUACAUAUUAAUAUGAUUACGUCUGCUCGAAUAUUUUUGAAUUAAUACUUGUUAGUAUAGACGUAUUGCAGCGUGUGUCGUCUCUUGUCGAUCAUGUGUGUCUCACGCGCUGUCCGCACGUUAUUUAAUUAUUUCUGUUAUUGUCGUUUGCGCUAAUUAGUCAAUUAUUGUUUAGUCGUUGGUUAUUUAAAAUAACAAUUCAAUUAGAACGAGUCUGUUUUAACACACGAUUUUAUAAAUAUAAAUGAUAAUUAACUUGAGUGAUACCAGUAUAAAUACUCUUACUUAAUUAUUUGUUUACUGUUGUUAGCACGUGGCAUCGUUCGCGCGUCAUCGUGUUGUUCGCGCGCAUAGUCGCGUUGACUCAGGUGUGACGAGCACUGUCAUGCGCGUUGUUUCGUGUGUCCGUAUGUUGUUCGGCAUGCUGUCGUGCAUCAUCACAUGUCAUCCACGUGUGUUGCGCGCGCCGUUUUCACGUGUCAUGUGCUAUCUGUGCGCUAGGUCGCGUGCGGGCGUGCUGUUUCACGCGUUACGUAUUUCGUCUCGCUCCGCUAAUUCGUCCCGCUUAGAGUUGCUGAUAUUAUUUAAAUUACUUAUUUAACUAAGAAUUACUAGUGUGGUCAGCUAAUUAAAAUUGUGUGAUAGCUAUAGUUUCAUUUUAAAUAAAUAUCGAUUAAUAUAAGCAGAUCAAACUAAAUGUUAUGACUAAUACUCGUUUAUUGUAGACGCGAUAACUUCUCGAUCGUAGCUUCGUCUGUCGCGUUUCUUUUUCCUUGCGUGAUCGUAGUAACACGCUCUAUUUCAUUUUGCAUAUUUUAUUAUGUUUCUAUUUGAAUGGUGUAAUGUUCUUAUGUAUAUAUGUUUGUUUGUUUGUGCCUGUUUGUAUUCGAUGUGCGUCGCGAAUAGAUUGCGAUCCGGUUCCAAGCUUCGAGGGAUCGAGGAUCAAGCGUUGGCGACCAAGUGAUAUAGCUUUACGAGUUCUACGAUACUAAAGACCCUGAGCAUCUGUUUGGUGAAGGCAAGUGUCCUCUGACCCAUUAUGUCCCAUUUACUUUAUAAUACACUGUCCCGCAUACUAUGAACAACCUAAGGAUUUACUAGCUUUCUAUUUACAUUGUCCUUGAUUUACCUUUUGGGUUACUAUGGUUAGCUACCUGCUAGCGCUUUACUUUAAUCAAUGAACAUGAUGAGAUACAAUGAUGAUACUAUGAUUUUAUUCUGGAUAUGAUGAUAUACUGGUGGCAUUUAGGGGACUCGGGCUGUUUCCCGAGUACCUCUCCGUAAGGACCUGUUCGUUGAGAGACCACCCGGGAUAACAGUGCAACCAUGAGGGUGAAAUGGGAUGCCCUUAGCUAACUAAUUAGAGGAACUAGAGGUGUAGUUGCUUCGCCGUCGUGCCGUCAAUGGGGUCCAGGCACAGUGCUUGCUCUGCCGAGGCUGGGUGCCGAGGUCCUUUCGUUUUGCUUUUGUUAGUCACCUUCCUGCGGGGAGGAGUACUGUGUUUAUCAAACUGGAGAAACCUAACGGGCGGCUAUGACCUCUAGGGAAUCUUUGUAAAAGCUACGUAGUGAUACCCUGCCGGACCACCUAGGAAGUGAUCAAUGGGGAGUCAUGAUCCCCGGGCAAAACGGGAAUCACGGCUCAUGGGUAAAGUGUGCGACCUCUGCAGAGGGUAAUGAAACUGAUAUAUCAGCCGUGCUCACGGUUAAGAGCGGCCUUGGGAUCCUCCUUGAUUAGAGAUACAUAUGAUCUAAGAUACAAUGGUUAUAUUUAUGUUUUGGUUCGAUGAUGAUAAUGAUGUUCCUCGAUGAGGAAAUGAUUCACAGGUUGGUUACAUGAUAAAACUUGGCUUCCACUAAUAAUAAAUACCUGACCAACUAAAAGCAACUGCUUGAGCUAAACCCCACAUAAAGCUAGUCCACCUCAGCCAAACGGGACAUUUGCUGAGUACGUUGAUGUGUACUCACCCUUGCUUUCACAAAACACCAGGUUGCCUUUGGUGCAAUCUAUGCUCAGGUAAAGAAGAAGGAGUCGAGGCGGAUCUCUAGGAGUUCCAGGACUUCGACGAGUUCGAGGAUUAGGCUAGCGACCUCCCCCAGUCAGCUGCCUGUGGUGGGUUUGUUUACGUUGGCUACGUUUCUAUUCUGUGUACUUUGAUUUGUGCUAUGUAAAUGACUCUAGUCUUUAAUAUUAUUACUCAUUCUAUAUUGUUAUUCGAAGCAUUGUGCUAUGAUGAGUCAUUUAUGUAAUCGCUGUGUACGUGAAUUUCUGAUCCUGGCACGUACAUGGUUCGCAUUCGGUUUACCUUCUAAAACCGGGUGUGACAUAAGUGGUAUCAAAGCCGUGCUGACUGUAGGACCGCUGACCUAGAGUAGCGUUGGCCGUUUUAAGGACUUAUUGACUAUUACUUCACCCCAUCCUUGGUUCUGCUUCAAAAUAUUAGUCACCUCGACUAAUUCUAUGUUGUGCUCCUAUAUGCCCCCUUGACAAAAGUAUUUUAUUCUAGUAUGGUUUAUACUUCUCUCAAUCUAUUAGAUCCGAUCUCACUCUUGUGCUUGCGAUAUCUUUGUAGAUGCCCCUUACCAUGACCUUCUAGUCUCUUGGGAUUCUUUCCUCUUCCAUCAUUAAGUUGCUGCCAUUUGACAAUCAUUAUUCCCUUGGUAUUGACAUGCUUUUGAUUCUUCCAUACCCUUAUUCCUUAAUUCAAACACUUAACCCUAAAAACUCUAUUGCCUAGUUAAACAUUUCAGUUUAUAUGUCCAUGACCUUCCUGUCUUUUGAGAACCUUUCCUAUUCUAUUGUUAAGUCGCUAUCUUUUGGCAAUUUGUACUCUCUUCGUCUUGGUAUGCUCGUACCAUUGGAAUCUUGCAUACUAAUAUUUUUAUAUAUGCUUACCUUCAUAUCCCAAUGAUUGUUCAAAAAAUUUCGGUUAAUAUGCCCUUGAUCAUCCUUGCUUCUUGAUGGUCCAUGAGCGACCCUUCUAUUUCGCACAUCCUUGACGAUCUCACCGUUUCCUCAUAACUUCCCUCGAUAAUAAUUUUUGUUACUUCAACCAUUCUGUUGGGACCUUACCUAUCUCACCCUUGAUUGUCUUAUCCACUUCGCCACUUCGAGAGUCUUGCCUUAACUCUAUCCUGGGUUAUGAUUUCACGAUCAUCAUCUUUACCCUUGUCGCCUCUAUAUCUUACCUUGAUGCUUAUAUUAUACCCGUCCUUUAAAAACCUUCUCUCUGCCAUCUCAAUUUUAUAGUUGUAGUUUACCUAUUUUCCCUUGGUCGUAUUCUCUUCCUUAUCGCUUGCGAGUUUUUAACUCCAUCCCUUGUCGUGCUCCAGUUGGGUAUUACCUUUACCUUUCUCAUCCCUCGAUCUUACCUUUAACUACACUAUGUCCGUUCUCUAAAAUCUUCAAUCUCAUAUCUCAAUGUGAGAGCGAUGUUUUACUUAUCUUAUCCUUGGCAAUAUCCUCUUCUUUUCCGCGUGUAAGCCUUGACAUACCUCCAUUCUUUAUUGUGCUUAUACCACUCGCUCUUCUAAGUCUUCAUCUUUUCUCCUAUACUCUUGUCUGUUAUCGCCUUUGGCCCUUGCGAUAUUUAUGUCUUCUACCUAAAUGCUUACCUUGAACUUAUCCUUUAAAGCCUCUCCUUUAUUUUGAGAAAGUUUGAGGGUUGUGAUUUACCUAUCUCUCCCUUGAAUUCUUGUCACUUCGUGUCGCCUUACAAGUUUUGUGUUAAUUCCAUCCUUUGUUGUGUUUUAUUUGCUAUCACCAUCACCUUGUCAUCCAUCGAUCUUGCCUUAUACUCAUCUGUAUUCCCACUCUAAAAAAAUCUCCUCUCUUCCACCUCAAUUUGAGAGUGGCAGAUUACCUUUCUGGCCCAAGGACGUACCCUCUCCUUUUCCAUUUGCAGGUCUUGUCUUAACUCCAUCCUUUGUGGUAUUUAUAUUCUUGGUUCUUAUGCACAUUUACCUCCUCUCUUACAUCCUUGUCCGUUAUCACCUUUAAACCCUCAUGAUACCUAUGCCCUUGCCACAUGCCUACUUUUAACCUACCCUUUAAAGCCACCUCUCUUUCAUCGCUGUUUGAGAAUAAUACCUCACCUACUUCACCAUUGAUUGCUUCCCCUUCUUUGAUGCCUCUCAAGUUUUGUCUAAAAUAUAUCCUUGGUUGGAUUCUCUCCCUUGGCGGUUACAAUCAUUACUUUAGCUCCAUCCUUUAUUAUGCUCAUGCCCCUAUCCUCCAUGUCUUAUUAUUUCUCCUUGCCUUUUGUUGGCCUUAGAGUAGUUUCCUUUUUUAAGGAAAGACCACCAUUUAAUUAAAAGGAACAUAUAACAUCGAGAUGUUGGUGGUUGUAUGCUUGUGAUGUUUGUCUUUGUGUGAUGACCGAUUUGCUUCUUUGUGAUGAGUGUUGUUGUGUUGUGGCCUUUGGUCCGCAAUGACAUCAGUUUACUAGUUGGGUGCUCUCCCUUUUCUCUCUUUAAUCCAUUUAUGCUUACCUUUUCUAUCUUACCUUUUCUAUCUAUACUCUUUCCUCUUGCACCUGUCCAGUUUGCAACCUCCAACCUCUCUCAAUCAAUCAAGACCAGAGUCGACAGCAUCUUUAUCAAGUGCGUAUCAACGCUUCUGUUAAGGGGGUUAGUCGCUAACCCCAAUGAAGACAAUGUGAAUAACAUCAGCCAACAAGAUCAGAGUGGUGUAGCGAAAGCGUGUGUGGGUCCUAACCCACAGGUCCAAGGGAUCCUCAAGAAUUGUAUCGAUUGGUCUCAAGCGCCUGAAGGUCAAAGCAUCCAGUCCGCAAGCUAAGCUUGCAAAGUCAAAGUCAACUCAAGAAAGCCGUGAACAACGGAUGAACCAACCUUGUUUCUCUUGCUAGCUUCUUGAAUCUCGAGGGCGAGAUUCUGUUAAGGGGGUUAGAUUUGUAACACCCUGAAUUUGGGGGUAUAAAAUUUCUUUCCUAAUAUCCACCAAAUUCAGGUGUUACCCUCUUCUUCCUUUGCCUUUCUUUAUCUUUUCAAAGCAGUGAAGGAAUAUUUUGCUUUUAUGUAAGUAUUAGAUGUAUUAAUGAAACUCUAAAAGGGUUUUUUUGAUAGUUGCAUCACAUGCUGGAGCAUUAAUUUUGUUUGUUGUUGAUUGAGUUAAAAGAGUGUUACUAUUUAAUUUAUUCUCUUUUUGUGAAGCCCAACUUAAUUAAUAAUAGAAAUUUACCUAAAAAUAUCUAUUGAAUAUUUUAUUUGAAAAUAUUAUUAUUUCAAAUUAUUAUAUUUUUUCAUAUUUAGAAAGACAUAUUUAUUCAUAUAUUUCGAAUAACUUAUGUGAAAAAAAGAAAAGAAAAGGGAAUUUCGAAAUAAAUAAAUAAAAGAAGAAAAAAAAGAAAUCUAAAAAAACAACCGUCCGGGGGCAAGUCCACCCCACGUGCGCGCAUGUAGGCAUGCAGCGGCUAGCGCCCACGCACGCUAACGCCCAGCCGCUCCCACGAUCUCUCCUCGCGCCCGCGCGUCAGGUGCAUGCAGGAGCCCAAGCGCGUCAUCUCUCCCACGAAAAGAAAACUACCUAGCCGUCCAUCUCUCUCUCUGUGAUACCCGGUUUGCAAAGAAGAGAAGUUGAAGGUUAUUCUUUUUGUUUGUUUUUUCUCUUAUUCGGGUGUCGCGCUUUGGGGAUUUAGAAUUUGUGGAAAUCAUUCACCAGUAUAGCAGUAGAGUGGUUGGUCGGGAGCUGUCGUGCAAGCGAGUUGGGCCGCGAAUCGCAAUCCGGCCCACUAACCCUCCCCCUAACCCUAGCCGCCCCCCUUUUUCCCCCUUGGGUUGUUGCAGCCGCCCCUUCCCCUCCCCUUUCUCUUGGACGCCCCCCCUCUCCCAUCUUCUUCCUCCUCAAACCUUUGCAGCCCUCACCACCCAAAACCCUAGCCGCCCCCCCCCCCCCCCAUUUCUCCCCCUCCUCCAAGGUGCAGCCCUCCCGUGUGGUUCUCCGUCGUGUGGCUGCGAUCUCAAUUGGAGUUUGGAGGGAGGAAGAAGGAAGGAGGAAGGGAAGAACCUAAGGUGAAUUUGUGAUUAACUUUUGUUGUUUUUGUGCUGCAAUCAAUUGGAUUAUGUGUUUAUCUUUGCGAAUCGGUAGAGGUGCUGUCCAGGAAUUUUGUGAGUGGGUGAACAGCAGUAGUUCUAGGGAUUUCUGGGAAUUUUCGUGGGGUAAUUAGUGGGAAUCAGUGGGAUAAUCAUGUAGAGCUUUGUCAUACCUUUCCAACGAGUACUUAUGCGCUCGAUUCGGAGUUAUAAUUUAGGAGAUAUCGUUGUUUGAAUCCGGGUAUAUUGCUGUCCAAAAAAACAGAUUUUUCAGGUGGGUGAACAGCAGUAGUAUUAGCAGUUUCUGGGAAUUUUUCGUGGGUAAUUAGUAUUAACCAGUAUUAUAAUCAUGUAGGGCUUUGUCUUAUCUUUCCAAUGAGUACUUAUGUGCUUGAUUUGGAAUUAUAUUUUAAAAGAUAUCGCUGUUUGAAUCCGGGUAUGUUGCUGUAAAAAAAACAGAUUUUUCAGGUGGGUGAACAGCAGUAGUAUUAGCAAUUUCUGGGAAUUUUUCGUGGUUAAUUAGUGCUAACCAGUAUGAUAAUCAUGUAUGGCUUUGUCUUAUCUUUCCAAUGAGUACUUAUGCGCUUGAAUUGGAAUUAUAUUUUAAAAGUUAUCGCUGUUUGAAUCCGGGUAUGUCGCUGUCCAAAAGAGAAAAAAACAGAUUACAGGGUUCAUCUUGUGAACUGUUUUGGGCUAAUUAGAUGUUGGAGUUUAAUUAUAAAUUGUAUACAAAACUUGUGGGGAAUUUUAUGUAGAUGCCUCUGGAGUUUUUGUUUGUUACCAAUGCUGUCAUAAUUUUGAAGUUAUGAAAUUAUUAAGCAGCGCCGCUGCAGUUUGGUGGGUGUGGGGAGAGAUGUAACCCGCGGCGGGGUUUGAGUUUGUGCGUAGGUGCGGCGUCGUUUAUGAGCCUGGUUAUGUGAAAUUGGUGCACUAAGUUGUGUGUCAAAAACAGGUGGUGGACUUCCGGAUCGUACUUAGGGAUUUGCCCAAACUUCCGGUAAAGGCAAGUAAAUACAGUGGUGGUUGCUACCGUUUGGUUUGCAUCCUAUUCCCUGUCAUUGAGUAUGCAUAAGUUUUAAAUAUGUUAAUCAUUGAAUUCUAUGAUGAAGUUUAUUUGUUCGAAAGUAUUAAUUCUCAAUUGUCUAAUAUUGUGGAUGAUCAUGAUUUGGUAAUGAUAUAUGUGGUUGAUUCCUAUCAUGGAUGGAGUUGAAGUAUUUUUAUUUGAAUCACGUUAUAUGAAGUGUUGUAGGCAUGUCAUGCACAUUGCAUCAUCCAUCUUGCAUUCUGAAGUUAUGUCGUGAUCUUAUGGUCCGACUGUACCGGUACAUUUUUAGCAUCGUACGUUGUCCGAGGAGGGGUACGAUGCGGCUUCAUAUCCUUAGAGGUAUGAAGGCAGAAGUCAUCCUUGCAUUUGCAGACAUUUGCACUCAUGAGGUAUAUAUAUGAAGAGUGACAUUACUAUGUUACUAUUGUGGUUUCUACCUGCGAGGUGUGGUAGCUAGGAGUGUUGUACGUUGUAUACGUGCUGCACCUUUGUAAUAAGAAGGUUGUGAAAUCAAGUGGUGGUAAAACAAUAUUCUUAUGUGGUUAAACAGUUUGAUAUUAUUUUACUUGCUGAGAUGUGUCAUCUCACUCUUGCAUUACUCAAUGCAGGUACUUGAUAUAUGUUGGGAAUGAGGGGAGUAGCAGCACGUCCACUUUCACUCUCAUAAUAGCGCUGCCCAGGCGUAGCCAUGAUUUAAUUAGAAACUUGUUGUCAAAAGAAGUUAUUUUUUUUUGCUAGUCGUGCGCACUGGUUAAUUCAGUUCAUGUCGUAUGUUUAACUUCCCUUUGCUAGCCGAUUAAUAAUACUUGGUAUGUUUUUGUCAUGAUAUAUGUUUAUACAUUGUUGUCCCCCCCCCUCAUUUAUGCAAUUUUGCAAAGGAGAUGCUGCCAAAAUUUUAUAUAGAUGUCAGAAGUGUAGUUCAGUAGCAUUCCGGGGUGUUUGUGGAUCCCGGGGUGUUACAGUUGGUAUCAGAGGAUAGGCUUUAGAUUCUACGCAAUUUGAAGAUAAAUUUGACACACUUGCACAUAUAGGAAGGGUAUGGGUUCGUAAAUCUUUCAUAUUAGUAUUUUAUUGUAUAGAUGACUAGAACUUCCUUACUCCAAAUUCCUUUAUGGUUUGAUGGGGUACGUCAUUAAUGACGUAAUGCUUGAUAUGAUAUGUUAUUUCUAUUUAAUAUUGGUUUCUUGAUGUGGUUGUUAUUGAAGAUAUUAUGCAAGUGAAGCUACUACUGUACUUGUUUUAUAUACAUAUUGUCAUGAUGUUUUUUUUGAUGCAAUGUUUUCAAAUCUCUGAGCUAUUACUAUCAUAUAUUUCUAUAUGCUUGACUGUGGAUGUUUUUUUCCAAAAGGAUUCUUGGGUUCUAGUACUUGUAGGACCGAUUGUUUAUUGAGCUUGUCUAUAGUGGGUCUAAUCCGACUUGGUGUAGUGUGAAAACACUAUAUAAUGUAGUUUUAUGGUGUUGUUGAGUUUGAUUGACUGUUGGGUUACAACCCAACUUAUCAAUGUAAUAUUUCCAUGGGUGCAAUGCUUUGCGCCUCACUUUUUUGGCUAGUGUGGCUACUUGCUAACUUGAUCUUAGUAUAAAAUUGGUUUGUCUCUAUAGAGCAAAGGCAACAUUGUAAUGUCUAUGAAAUCUUGAGACUGGUAGAACUCAAGUGAAUUUGUAAGAUGACGUAGAUUGAUAAGUCCAACCAUGUUUACCUGAUAGGUUUUCUUAUUAUGUGCAACCUUAUUUUUUUUAACAAUAAAUAGGGUGGUUUCAAGUGGAUUUUAUGUCGUGCAUGUUUUCCUUCUAUGGUUUGUUUCAAUAGCCAUAAAGGCUAUGCAUAAUUUUUAGUUGUUGCAGGCUAGUCAUGUGGACGAUAUUGACAACCCAUUUUAUUUUUUUUUAUUUGCCAACAUUGUAUGGUAGUUUGAUUUUUUUUAUGAUCAGUUUCUCUAUGCAUGCUUGUUGAAUCAUUAUUUGGACCGCUUUAUCUUAAACGAAGUCAAUGCUUAACUGGGAGUUGCUUAUGUUUGUUAGUCAUCUAUCUCUUUAAUGAUGGGGUUGUUGCAUCGGAUUGAGAUUUUUCUUAUAUGAAUGAUGGUUUGAUAGAUCAUGUAUGUCUACUACUUUGAAUGCAUCCUGUGAUAUCACGAGGUACAAAUUGUUCAAGUGCAGUAAUAGUAGGUUUUGUUGUAUGUGAGGUUAAUCAAGGUAGUUUGGUUAUGUGGAUUGUCUUAUUGACAUCCAAUUACUCCUGAUGAGCAUAGUAUCGUGUUGCUAUUUUAGUAUUGAAAGUAAUAUUUAUGAAGCUUUUGCAUGAGUCUGUGUCAAGAAGUACAUUAGUUUUUCUUGUUGUUAUCCCUCCAUUGCUUUAUGAGUAUUGCAAAUUUUAUCUCUUUUGAGAGGAGGAAAAGACGUUACAUGACAUGAGCACCAUUUGCUUCACGUCAACAGAAUAGUUGUGGAGAGCUCUAAUAGUUGGAUUCUAGUGUAAUAACAACCAUGUCUUAUAGUGCUAGAGACGGGUAUGUCAGGUGUUUCAUACAUUGUCGAUACAUGGAUGUUUGACCUUAGUGGCAUUAACAAACGAGGUUGUUUAAUUCGUUGAUUGUUGUGCUUAGUGUUCUAACCUAUUAGGUAAAGUGUUGCUUAAAGGCUUUGGGGAGUUGCAUCCCCAUUUGGUAGUGGAAAAUCCUAGUGUUGAUCGCACCUUCCAAUGCCUUGGGUUUUAUUUUAUAUUGUUUUUUUAUUAUGAGUAAGGUGUUGUUUGGUUUUGGGAGUCAUUUUAAAUUAGUUGGAGGCUGAAUCAGGCUUCACUUAUCUAGAAUGUUUUGUAGUAGGCUUCUUCAUCUUUGCAUAGAUGCUCAAUCACCCAGUUUGGUCUAAACAUUGGAGAGUUAUGGGUUUCCUAUAGCAGCCUUAAUUUUGUACGGAAGUAGAGACAUUGAAGACGGUAAAUUUUGGUUUUUGUUGGAUUAUGAAAGUUUUAGUAAUUUCAUGAUCUUUCCAAAGAUUAUUGGUUUGUAAUUUUCAUUGCAUAUAAUUGGAGUUAGGCUACUCUGAAGUUGUUUCACCGUUGUGUCUGAACUUUAGGUGUCGUUAAAACCACCAAUAAAUCGACCGUGUUCUGAUAGUUUCAGAGCCCAAAUUUGGGAAUUCUCUUUAAGAAAAACUUUUAGUUUUUCUAAGUACCUUUUAAUGGGUAUUUACUUGUAACUGCCUAUUAAAUAGAUUGGGAGAGGUGGUUGUCCGGAUAUAAGUCGAAUCUCUGAUGUGCAGUAUCUCAGGUUGAGUUUAGCUGUAGGUCAUGCAGAGUUGAGGGUUAUAAAGAUAAAUUUGGGUGCAACUUUAUUGCAAAAGUCGUGGACAAUUUCCAAACUUUUCCAACGCAUGUUCGUUGUAGUUUUAAGUUGAGUAUAGCAGGAGUUAUAGGAUUUUGAAUUUUAGUUGUCCAAUAUUUCUAUCCUAUCAGUUUUGCAACAAAGCAGUUGCAUUGUUUUAUCGGUUUGGAAACCAAUUCUGAGACACUCAUUAUAAUAAAAGUUUUAGGGAAUGUUAUAACCUUUCCAAUGAGUUUGUAUUUGCAAAAUUUUGUUAGAUGCAGAUUGGGUGAGUUAUUGGAUGGAUAUAUAUGCAUAGUAUAAUUAAAAAAAGUGUUCUUCGAUGGAAUGAUAUAAUGUAUAGAAUAUGCUUGGAUGGAUAUAUGGGCAGGCGUAGUAUGCUUAAAUCGAUUCUUGCUUCCAUGAUGUGAGAUAAGGCUUAAAAUGAUUUAAAAUGUUAGCAUAUGGCUUCUAUCUUUAUGUUGGCUCUGAGUGUCUCGUAAUGAAGAACCUAAAGUUAUUAGUCCUUCGAUGAACGCUUAAUCUUAGAAGAGUAUAGAACCUGAAUAAAUCUAUUGCUUGCUGUUUGGGACUACAUGACCAAUUUUGGUUAUGCAGCUAGUUCAACGAAUUAAACCAUGUUUUCUGUAGAGGUGUUGUAUAUAAAAGUUGUAGCCAACUUCUUCAUCUUACUUGUGUAAAAUUUCAUGACCAUAGGUCUAGUAGUUUGGGAGUUAUGAUUUUCUCAAGUCCAGUCUUGGAAUCUGUCCAGAUUCUGUACAGAUUUUGAAACAGACCUUGUUUGCCCAAGUUAAACUUUGAAUCAGUUCUUAUAAAUUAUAAAGAAGUGGAGUACUUUCCUUAAGAUUUCCAACAAAUAUUGGAUCACCCUUUUUGGUGACCUAUAAGUUAAGCUACAGCUGUUUUAAGUGGAAUCUUUGAAUCUGUCCAAAUUUGGACAGCAAAGCCUUUCUUAUGUCUUUUGACCUUGAUAUGCAUUGAAUUAACCUGAUAUGUUUAUAAAUGAAAUAUAGACAAUUUUACUGGCUUUCAAAAAAAGUCUAGGAGCGCCUAAAUUGGAUGACUGAGACUCCAAUUAUGGAUUUUUUAAGUGAGUAGUUGAAUUCUGUCCAAGUCUGGACAAAAUUUACGUUUCGCAUUGUUUGUCCUUUCUAAGUGUCAAAUCUUGUGGUGAUGAUAAUACCAAGGGUAUAGUGGACUUUGUAAGCUUUCCAUAAAGUCCUAGUUUACUACUGUUGGAUGCAUAUUUUGUGAGUUUAUGAGCAAAACAAUUAACCGUUGUGCUGAUGUCUAGAAAUAUGCAAGCAUUAAAUUGAUCUUUUGAAGUUACUCUUGUUUGGAUAGGUUUGGUUUAGGCUAUUGGAGCACAGUAUGUAUUGCUUUCAUUAUAUAUAUUCAUUGAAGAACUUGCAUGUGUCAAUGUUGAUUUGGUGUCAGGAAAACUUUGUCCGGGUUAUAUAGGACUGUCUAUUAUCUUAGCCCGAGUUGGCAGCUUGGCUUAGCACAUGCAAUUGUCGGAGUCUAUGAUCAGAGUACGCCAUGUAUUCCAUGUCUCUAUGUUGAGAAAGUAUUUGCGGAAUCCAUAUCAAUAAUCGAGCUAGAGUCAAUUCCCAUGUAGCAAGACCUGACUCUAGAGUGUCGUCUGCUGCGUAUCCUAGAAUCCUUGAAGCUCGAGGAGCUGAUGCGGCAGAAGUACCCCGAACUUUUCGUUAUGGGGUGAGUUUUUGUUGUCGCUGAUCUUUCCUUGUCGUUCCGAUAGAAGCGUCGGAAUUCGAGGUCGAAUUCUUUUUAAGGGGGGUAGAGUGUGAUACCCGGUUUGCAAAGAAGAGAAGUUGAAGGUUAUUCUUUUUGUUUGUUUUUUCUCUUAUUCGGGUGUCGCGCUUUGGGGAUUUAGAAUUUGUGGAAAUCAUUCACCAGUAUAGCAGUAGAGUGGUUGGUCGGGAGCUGUCGUGCAAGCGAGUUGGGCCGCGAAUCGCAAUCCGGCCCACUAACCCUCCCCCUAACCCUAGCCGCCCCCCUUUUUCCCCCUUGGGUUGUUGCAGCCGCCCCUUCCCCUCCCCUUUCUCUUGGACGCCCCCCCUCUCCCAUCUUCUUCCUCCUCAAACCUUUGCAGCCCUCACCACCCAAAACCCUAGCCGCCCCCCCCCCCCCCCCAUUUCUCCCCCUCCUCCAAGGUGCAGCCCUCCCGUGUGGUUCUCCGUCGUGUGGCUGCGAUCUCAAUUGGAGUUUGGAGGGAGGAAGAAGGAAGGAGGAAGGGAAGAACCUAAGGUGAAUUUGUGAUUAACUUUUGUUGUUUUUGUGCUGCAAUCAAUUGGAUUAUGUGUUUAUCUUUGCGAAUCGGUAGAGGUGCUGUCCAGGAAUUUUGUGAGUGGGUGAACAGCAGUAGUUCUAGGGAUUUCUGGGAAUUUUCGUGGGGUAAUUAGUGGGAAUCAGUGGGAUAAUCAUGUAGAGCUUUGUCAUACCUUUCCAACGAGUACUUAUGCGCUCGAUUCGGAGUUAUAAUUUAGGAGAUAUCGUUGUUUGAAUCCGGGUAUAUUGCUGUCCAAAAAAACAGAUUUUUCAGGUGGGUGAACAGCAGUAGUAUUAGCAGUUUCUGGGAAUUUUUCGUGGGUAAUUAGUAUUAACCAGUAUUAUAAUCAUGUAGGGCUUUGUCUUAUCUUUCCAAUGAGUACUUAUGUGCUUGAUUUGGAAUUAUAUUUUAAAAGAUAUCGCUGUUUGAAUCCAGGUAUGUUGCUGUAAAAAAAACAGAUUUUUCAGGUGGGUGAACAGCAGUAGUAUUAGCAAUUUCUGGGCAUUUUUCGUGGUUAAUUAGUGCUAACCAGUAAGAUAAUCAUGUAUGGCUUUGUCUUAUCUUUCCAAUGAGUACUUAUGCGCUUGAAUUGGAAUUAUAUUUUAAAAGUUAUCGCUGUUUGAAUCCGGGUAUGUCGCUGUCCAAAAGAGAAAAAAACAGAUUACAGGGUUCAUCUUGUGAACUGUUUUGGGCUAAUUAGAUGUUGGAGUUUAAUUAUAAAUUGUAUACAAAACUUGUGGGGAAUUUUAUGUAGAUGCCUCUGGAGUUUUUGUUUGUUACCAAUGCUGUCAUAAUUUUGAAGUUAUGAAAUUAUUAAGCAGCGCCGCUGCAGUUUGGUGGGUGUGGGGAGAGAUGUAACCCGCGGCGGGGUUUGAGUUUGUGCGUAGGUGCGGCGUCGUUUAUGAGCCUGGUUAUGUGAAAUUGGUGCACUAAGUUGUGUGUCAAAAACAGGUGGUGGACUUCCGGAUCGUACUUAGGGAUUUGCCCAAACUUCCGGUAAAGGCAAGUAAAUACAGUGGUGGUUGCUACCGUUUGGUUUGCAUCCUAUUCCCUGUCAUUGAGUAUGCAUAAGUUUUAAAUAUGUUAAUCAUUGAAUUCUAUGAUGAAGUUUAUUUGUUCGAAAGUAUUAAUUCUCAAUUGUCUAAUAUUGUGGAUGAUCAUGAUUUGGUAAUGAUAUAUGUGGUUGAUUCCUAUCAUGGAUGGAGUUGAAGUAUUUUUAUUUGAAUCACGUUAUAUGAAGUGUUGUAGGCAUGUCAUGCACAUUGCAUCAUCCAUCUUGCAUUCUGAAGUUAUGUCGUGAUCUUAUGGUCCGACUGUACCGGUACAUUUUUAGCAUCGUACGUUGCCCGAGGAGGGGUACGAUGCGGCUUCAUAUCCUUAGAGGUAUGAAGGCAGAAGUCAUCCUUGCAUUUGCAGACAUUUGCACUCAUGAGGUAUAUAUAUGAAGAGUGACAUUACUAUGUUACUAUUGUGGUUUCUACCUGCGAGGUGUGGUAGCUAGGAGUGUUGUACGUUGUAUACGUGCUGCACCUUUGUAAUAAGAAGGUUGUGAAAUCAAGUGGUGGUAAAACAAUAUUCUUAUGUGGUUAAACAGUUUGAUAUUAUUUUACUUGCUGAGAUGUGUCAUCUCACUCUUGCAUUACUCAAUGCAGGUACUUGAUAUAUGUUGGGAAUGAGGGGAGUAGCAGCACGUCCACUUUCACUCUCAUAAUAGCGCUGCCCAGGCGUAGCCAUGAUUUAAUUAGAAACUUGUUGUCAAAAGAAGUUAUUUUUUUUUGCUAGUCGUGCGCACUGGUUAAUUCAGUUCAUGUCGUAUGUUUAACUUCCCUUUGCUAGCCGAUUAAUAAUACUUGGUAUGUUUUUGUCAUGAUAUAUGUUUAUACAUUGUUGUCCCCCCCCCUCAUUUAUGCAAUUUUGCAAAGGAGAUGCUGCCAAAAUUUUAUAUAGAUGUCAGAAGUGUAGUUCAG